AGCCAGACUCCUACGGGAGGCAGCAGUGGGGAAUAUUGCACAAUGGGGGAAACCCUGAUGCAGCAACGCCGCGUGAGUGAAGAAGUAUUUCGGUAUGUAAAGCUCUAUCAGCAGGGAAGAAGAUGACGGUACCUGAGUAAGAAGCCCCGGCUAACUACGUGCCAGCAGCCGCGGUAAUACGUAGGGGGCAAGCGUUAUCCGGAUUUACUGGGUGUAAAGGGAGCGUAGACGGCGAUACAAGUCUGAAGUGAAAGCCCGGGGCUCAACCCCGGGACUGCUUUGGAAACUGUGUUGCUGGAGUGCUGGAGAGGCAAGCGGAAUUUCUAGUGUAGCGGUGAAAUGCGUAGAUAUUAGGAGGAACACCAGUGGCGAAGGCGGCCUGCUGGACGGUGACUGACGCUGAGGCUCGAAAGCGUGGGGAGCAAACAGGAUUAGAUACCCCCGUAAAC
Molecule: ribosomal RNA, 449 nt
Filed under: uncultured bacterium
Lineage: Bacteria
Description: bacterial SSU rRNA
Rfam family: Bacterial small subunit ribosomal RNA
Source: RNAcentral